Long non-coding RNA from Gasterosteus aculeatus aculeatus (three-spined stickleback), 2618 nucleotides. Lineage: Eukaryota; Metazoa; Chordata; Actinopteri; Perciformes; Gasterosteidae. The record is from Ensembl.
UACAUCAGUCUGAUGGAGGAGGCCGGUUCCCCUCCUCCAUCAGGCGAGGGAACCUGCCUAAUGAUCUAUGUGUAACCAUGCUGCCCCCUGCUGUUACACACACACACAUCAGCACAGCUGGAUCCUCUCACAGAUCAACACUGAGCAGCACAAAUUGCACACAUUUUAUUUCAAAAAGCUUAAUGCUGGAAAGUCUGUGUGGUUGUCAUGUGACCAGUACUUCAGUUAGAGAAGUUUUCUCUCAUCAUACCACCCCAUAAAGGUGAAGAUACCAAAACAAAAAAUAUUCUAUUUCUGCAAAGUACCUCUGCUAAUACAACAAAAUAUGUCAAAUCUGAAAAUAAUGUUUGACAGAAUUGUAUUAUUUAAUUUUAUCUCAUAAAUCGACCACUGAUCCACUGAUUUGAAUUAUUUUAGUCAUAAUGAGGAAUACUACUACUCUUACUAGUACUACUUCUACACUACUACUAUAGAAGACAUCCUGCCUGUUUGUACUACUAAAGACGUCCCACCUGGUGAAGAAGUUGGUUCUGUGAAUCUACAAAUAAAAGGAUGAUAUUAAUUGAUCUUAUUUGAUGACGAGGCAAGGCAAUUUUAUUCGUUGCACAUUUCAACAACAAGGCAAUUCAAAGUGCUUCACAUAAAACCAUUAAACACAUCCAAAAAUAAAGCAAGGAGAUUUAUAAACAAUUAAGAACAUUGAUAUAUUGAAACAUAAAAGAAAAACAGUCAUUAAAGGGAUAAAAAAGGAUACGAAACUACCAGACUAUGGAUGAGUUUUUUCAGUUGUGGGAAAAUACCAAACCAACAUCAUUCACAGCCGACGUCUGUGAGGUGUCUCGAGGCAUUGAGUUAGAACGAGGAAGGCGAGGCCGUUAAAAAGCCACGCUACCAAAGUGCAUUAUGGGACAGGAAGCAAACGUGGUAAAUCGGUUUGCACUCUUUUCUACAUACCAGUAUUAAAUAAUGUAAUACUGAUGUCAUGUUAAUAAUAAACAUAUAAUUAACAUAUUUCAUUGUUUUCAAUUAUUGGUUUAAAUAAAAAUGAAAGAAAACAAAGUUGAAUGAAAGAUGUAAAAAGGAAACACUAAAGUAUGGUUUACCUCAUGCACCACCUCGUCAUUUGCAAGUGCCUUCAUUGUAAAAAUAAAUGAAUAAUAUACAAUAAAUGUGAAUGGUUUUGUAAAUGUCUGAUAUUGUGACAGCCAUAAACGAAAGAAGCAGUUAAUACAAAACUCUACGCAUUGUGUUGGUCUGUGUUGGUCUGUGGAGUCGGAUUGAGACCAUGCGUGAGCUGCACAGUCCAGCUGCUCUGGCCACCAGCAGGAGGCUCUGUGGGGACGUGAGAGACUCCACGGUGAUGUGCGAAGAGGAGGGAGACCUCGAGGUAAUCUGGACCGGCAGCAAAGGUUACACAGGCUAGGACGCACUGUGCAGUCUGUGGAUUGAUACAGGGAGAGAGGACACACGUCAGCGUCAAGCUCAAACCAGAGCUGGUUUUAUUCUGAGCUGCGCAUGAGCGGAGCCUGUAGCUACGUUCUCUCCAAUGGAUCCACAGCAGCACCACAGCGCUCUCUACGGACGUGAACGUGUAAUACCUCAAUAUAACGUCUGAAAGAGUGCAAUUAUUAACAAAGAAAAAGGUGGGGGGGUCUGUUUUUGUAGCAUUUCCAACCUACUACAUUUACAAUGCAAGAAAUUUCCUCUCAAAACAGUUUUUUUUAGUUUGCAUGAUAAAGACAUAAAUCUACCUUAAUACAUGUCAGGUACAUCUUGCUAAUCUUGCUAGUCAAAGGUUUGACCCCUUAUACCUUCAGGACUGCCUUCAUUCUUGGUGUUAUACUUUCAACCAGGUGUUGGAAACAUUCCUCACAGAUGUUGGUCCAUAUUGACACAAUAGUAUCACGCAGCUGCACAUCUAUGAUGUGAAUCCCCCGUUCCACCACAUCCAGAGGUGCUCUACUGGAUGGAGAUGUGGGGUCUGGAGGCCAAUGGAGGACAAUGAACUCAUGUCCAAGACACCGGUUUGAGAUGGUAUGAGCUUUGUGACAUGGUGCAUCAUCCUGCUGGAAGUAGCCAUCAGAGGAUGGGACACUGUGGUCAUGAAGGGUUGGACACGGUCAGCAACAAUACUCAGGUUGUGUUAGGGAUUUAAGCAGAAGAGCACAUAAUGGUUAAAAUGUGAUGAACUGUGAUGAUUUAAGAUGUGUUUUUAUUAAAAUGUACCAUCUAUCAGAUGAUGUUAUUAUGCAUGCUAUGUCAUGUUUACAUGAUGAAGCUUUAAGCCAAAGAUGGGAUCAUUGAAUGUCGUAUUAAGUGAACAGGGAUCGGUCAGGUCAAUGAGGGAUUUCAGAUUUGGCCGUCAGAUGGAGCCAGGAGGGAGUCAUGUGAUAACUUGGACCACAAAGGAGACACGUUUGAAUGUGCAGCCAAUCACAUUCGGUUGCACACAAAGGACACACCCCGGGAGUUUUAUAAGUCGCUUUAGACUUGGACCAGGGGACCAGAAUGAAAAUAUUAUACUAUUCAUACUGUAUUUCACGUUCUAAUUGUAUUCCUUCUGUUAGUUAGUGAAUUGGUUAUCAUUUUUAAACUCGAUCCUGUUUUUUUCGUCUCAG